This 216-nucleotide ribosomal RNA is filed under the name Glomeromycotina sp. Its description in RNAcentral is "partial small subunit ribosomal RNA". The stretch from base 40 to 216 matches the Rfam family "Eukaryotic small subunit ribosomal RNA", at positions 686 to 864 of the family's 1831-position model. Lineage: Eukaryota; Fungi; Glomeromycota. The record is from RNAcentral.
GGGUCAGUAGGUUGGUCGUGCCACCGGUACGUACUGGUCUCACUGAUUCCUCCUUCCUGAAGAACCGUAAUGCCAUUAAUUUGGUGUUGCGGGGAAACAGGACUGUUACUUUGAAAAAAUUAGAGUGUUUAAAGCAAGCUAACGCUUGAAUACGUUAGCAUGGGAUAAUGAAAUAGGACGAUCGAUCCUAUUUUGUUGGUUUCUAGGAUUGACGUA